AUGGUCACCCCGCUGCGCGUCAUGGCGCCUGGGGACAUGGAACCCUCGCCAGGGGGAGCCCGCGGCGACCAGCCAGGGCUGGGGGGAAGCGGCGACGACGUCAUCAUCUUGGAGAAGGCGCCGGAGCCGACCCCGCCAACUGGGGCGGCCCAAGGCGGCCAGCCUGAUCCGCCGCCUGCACAGUCGGCGGAGGGCGAGCUGGCCGCGGGGGCUGAGGUGGCGGUCCGGGUGCCGCCGAGCCGGCGCGCGGGGAAGGCCGCGUCGGAGCCACAGAAGGCCGCGUCGGAGCCACAGCCGGCCGUGGGCUCCAGCUCGUCGGCCCGGGACGCGGAGGCGGCCAGCGCUACCUCGGGGUGGACGCCAGGCGGAGGGACAGCCGUAGUGAACGUGGCUGCACAAGACGUCCGGACCCGGCUCCAAAGCCAAGCCGCGGCGCUGAGGCAGUUCACCGACGAGUUCCUCGCAACGCGGGCUGCCAUCCGGGACUACCACAACCUUCGAGCGGCCGCCUUCAUCUCCCAGGCUCGGGAGCUGACUCAGAAGACCGCCGACCUUACUGAGAGCCGAGCGGCCAACGCCAGUCUGAGGGCAUAG
This 594-nucleotide ribosomal RNA is filed under the name Triticum aestivum (bread wheat). Its description in RNAcentral is "partial small subunit ribosomal RNA". Lineage: Eukaryota; Viridiplantae; Streptophyta; Magnoliopsida; Poales; Poaceae. The record is from RNAcentral.